This is a long non-coding RNA of Coregonus clupeaformis (lake whitefish), 1988 nucleotides long. RefSeq lists it as uncharacterized. The record is from RefSeq and is a predicted model, not a curated record. The transcript is spliced from 5 exons. Lineage: Eukaryota; Metazoa; Chordata; Actinopteri; Salmoniformes; Salmonidae.
AUUUCUUCAUGCAAACUCUCAUCGACAAGUAGCAAGUAACCUAAAAAGUAGAUAUUAUAGCCCUUUUAGUUUCUCGUGUAAAUAAUUGAUAUUGUGUAUUUCUUGUGUGUAUUCUUGUUUAUCAUUUUUCUAAUUACCUAGCUAACUACUUUUUUUUUUUUUUUGCAUUUUAUUAUCACAAAUUUUUGUGACCUUUGUAGCGAACUAGCUAAACUUGGGGCUCUCCGUCGAUCAGAAGCAAGGAUGGUUCUGUGCUAUCUUUCGGGUUGUAACCACUACUCCGAUAAGCACACGUGCAUUUUAUCGUUUUCGACCUCUGUAAGCGAGAGGCGUCGCUGGAGCCAUGUGAUAAGAUGGACCAGAAACCAAGUGACAACACUCGGGUCUGUAGCUGCCAUUUUCCGGUGGGAAAGAGAAAUGGCCCUGUAUUUACCAGAAAAGGAGUGCAUCCCUCAGACCAUCAGGUGCAUGGACAUCCUGUGCCAGUGUGAUCCGAGCGCAAGUGUCUAGUUGUAGAGACCACAGCAGAUCGAGCCUGUGGAUGGACAGACAUGAGGAGUGACAUGCGGAACAUCAGGCUCACCGCAUGAGAAGCAGUGCAUGAUCAACGCCACCCUCAGCAAGGAGAUCUGCUGGAAGUGAUGUACUCUCUCUUUCACUCUGGGGGUACAGGCAGGGAUGACUGGGGCCUUCAGCAGGUAAGACACAGGUAAGAGGUAAGACAUAAUUUAACAUCACAGAUAUAAAUUCCCACUGUGCCCUUGAAAAAGUCAACUACAUUACUUUAGUUGACUGCUUUGAGCAAAACUUGUAUGUAAUAUAACCUAUUCUGGGAGCCUAGUGUGUGUGUGUAUGAAUUCUGUGGAAUAUUUCUGGACAAUUGGUUUCCCUGAAAACAAGUACUGACAGGAGGAACAAUAUGAGUCUGUCAGAGGUUGUCACCCUGAAUGGGGAUGGUGAUCAAUGCUUUGGUGUUCCACACAACGAAGAACCAGGUGUCCCUUCCAGUGAUGUGGAGCUGACCUUGGACCUGGUGCCAGUAAGGAUGGUCUUCACAGAGGAUGUAAGACCCUUCCUCCUUGAUAUAGAAAUCCUUUGACUUCACUGCCUCUUCAAUGGUAAGGUCCCUUGCACCAUAGGGACACUUGACCUCCACCACUGCUGUGGUGCCCACCAGACCAUCCAGUGAGGCACACAGGAUCCCAGACCCCGUGACCCAGAGCCCUGACUCCUGCACAUCCAUCCCUGUAGCCAUUUUGAAUGCCUUGAUGCCCUCAUCUUCGUUAUCUGUGCCCCACUUUACAGACAAUACCCCAUCCAAAGACUGUGAUCUGAGGACCCUUUAGCAGCGACGGAGUAAUGCGCUUGGCCUUAACCACUGCUCCAAAAUUGCUGGCCGUCAACCUCCCUCUCCUCAUGGUGUGCCAGUUGGGGUUGGUGCGCUGUCCAACUGUUGCCUGCCAUAAAGCCUCCUGCUGCUCCACCGACAGCGCCAUGCCAGCCAGGAUGCCUGCAUGCCCCAGGUGCCCUUGUAUUUUAACAAUGUCUGGUACAGACAGGAAUGACAGGGAGGGUAGCGGUUGUUCUGGCUCAGGUUCAAGGAGACAUGCCAUUCCACUGAACCUGCCCUAGAGACGGUUCCUUAGACACUGAAGAUCCUCCUCUGUGGGCUCUCGGGACCGAGGGUUGUAGUCUUCGGCUGGGUACAGGUCCUCCACAGACUGCACCUGGUUGGGCACGGCUGGCUUCCUCCACUCGCAUUCCACAUCCGUAUGACUGUUAAAUAGGCUUCAUGGCUACACUUAUAAGCUCCACGGAGGCAUUUGCAUGUGGUAGAAAGAAUCCCCUGGUUACCUAUAGAGACCUGCCAAGAGGAAGGAUGUUAAUGCAUGACUUUAAACACCUUGAAGUGCGUUUGUUGUAAGAAAUGUGCUAUAUAAAUAACGUUUGAUUUGAUGGAUGACAUUACAGCUGUAGAAUAUUUAAUA